Long non-coding RNA from Formica exsecta, 464 nucleotides. RefSeq lists it as uncharacterized. The transcript is spliced from 2 exons. The record is from RefSeq and is a predicted model, not a curated record. Lineage: Eukaryota; Metazoa; Arthropoda; Insecta; Hymenoptera; Formicidae.
AUCUUCAUAUAUGUGUGACGCCAAGUGUAAUCAGUGCAAUACGUUUUAUAAUAUUUGUUAUUAUAUUAGUUGCUUUCCAUUUUCACUCAAGUGGUACUGAGUCAUUUUAUGUAUUUUAUAAUCAGAUAAAGACGUCAUUUACCUGCUUAUUUUGGUAACAAAGCUAUCGCAUAACAAUACAGGUUCAUAACCUCACUGUUAAUAUGAAUUUAUUAGACUCACUAAAGCACAUGGUCUCGAUUGUGGGUAAAAACCACGUAAAAAAUUAGUUGAAUUUCACUUGCCAGCAUCAAAAAGAACGUGCGUUUAACUGAGUUAUUCAAAAUAUAUGCCAAAUAGAAAAUGGAGAAGUUACGUUUCUUGAAUAGGGUAGUUGAUAUAUCUGAACCGAUAUUGGCAGAAGAUAGUACAUUUUCUAAACUAGCAUUAUCAUUGAGUGCAGUAUUAGAACAAUUGGAUAAAAA